RNAcentral lists this ribosomal RNA (382 nucleotides) under uncultured bacterium. RNAcentral's name for it is "bacterial SSU rRNA". It matches the Rfam family "Bacterial small subunit ribosomal RNA", at positions 28 to 414 of the family's 1533-position model. The record is from RNAcentral.
GACGAACGCUGGCGGCGUGCUUAACACAUGCAAGUCGAGCGGAAAGGCCCUUCGGGGUACUCGAGCGGCGAACGGGUGAGUAACACGUGAGCAACCUGCCCUAGGCUUUGGGAUAACCCUCGGAAACGGGGGCUAAUACCGAAUAUUCACUUUCUCUCGCAUGGGGGUUGGUGGAAAGAUUUUUUGGCUUGGGAUGGGCUCGCGGCCUAUCAGCUUGUUGGUGGGGUGAUGGCCUACCAAGGCGACGACGGGUAGCCGGCCUGAGAGGCGACCGGCCACACUGGGACUGAGACACGGCCCAGACUCCUACGGGAGGCAGCAGGUGGGGAAUAUUGCACAAUGGGCGGAAGCCUGAUGCAGCGACGCCGCGUGAGGAUGACGG